GUGAAUCAUCAAAUUUUUGAACGCACAUUGCACUCUCUUGUAUGAGUAUGAGUGUUUGAGGGUGAGACUCAGUAAAAUCAUCAUCGUCGCUGUUUCGCGGUUACUUCCGUCGGACAUUGGGUCAUCUUAAACCUUUUUGUUUUUUGCAGCUUAAAAUUUUCUUUAUGAUUCUACGAACGUUUCUAACAUUUACUUACACGUUUAAGGUAUCGAUUUUGAUUAGACGUGGCCGUUGC
This 236-nucleotide unclassified non-coding RNA is filed under the name Glomus sp. RNAcentral's name for it is "partial internal transcribed spacer 2". The record is from RNAcentral. Lineage: Eukaryota; Fungi; Glomeromycota; Glomeromycetes; Glomerales; Glomeraceae.